AUGCAUAAACAUCCAUUCUCUGGGGUUCCCGCCAUAUGCGCCAGGGACAGAAGCAUUCUUUCUCUUCCAUCACCCAUAAUCAGUGUUCCCAGCUGGCACUUGGCACCGGCGCCUUUGUCUUUCAGUGCCAGCGCAAUAAUGCAGUGUGCUCUCCGGGAGGCUGGCUUUGCAGCAGGUGUGAUUUUACUCCUAAGGGAAACCAACUACCAACUUCACUGCUCAUUGCUGUUGCCGGGCCAGCAGUGGCCCCAAGGGAUGGAAACACCCACUCAGCAAUCUGCCAAGCCAGGAGUUCAGCACGUGAGCAGACAGUCGUGUCUGCCCUCUAGGCCAAAGUGCACAGACAGCUGCGGCGUUAGGGGCAUUUGCCCCACUCCACAUCAGCCUAGAAACCAGAGCUGCUUCUCUUCCUGGUCAAACGGAUGGCUAGUCUGCAAGAGAAUUUUUGGCCACUUGGCCUCAGAGCUUCUAACUUUGACCUUUCCCACCUUCUCUUCCUGGAAGACAUUCGAGUGAGGAUUCUUUGAG
Molecule: long non-coding RNA, 528 nt
Filed under: Ursus maritimus (polar bear)
Lineage: Eukaryota; Metazoa; Chordata; Mammalia; Carnivora; Ursidae
Description: lncRNA (ENSUMAG00000008429.1)
Source: RNAcentral